This 455-nucleotide ribosomal RNA is filed under the name unidentified marine archaeon p712-37. RNAcentral's name for it is "bacterial SSU rRNA". It matches the Rfam family "Archaeal small subunit ribosomal RNA", at positions 477 to 932 of the family's 1478-position model. The record is from RNAcentral.
CAGCACCUCAAGUGGUCAGGAGGAUUAUUGGGCCUAAAGCAUCCGUAGCCGGCUCUGUAAGUUUUCGGUUAAAUCCAUGUGCUCAACACAUGGGCUGCCGAAAAUACUGCAUAGCUAGGGAGUGGGAGAGGUAGACGGUACUCGGUAGGAAGGGGUAAAAUCCUUUGAUCUAUCGAUGACCACCUGUGGCGAAGGCCGUCUACCAGAACACGUUCGACGGUGAGGGAUGAAAGCUGGGGGUGCAAACCGGAUUAGAUACCCGGGUAGUCCCAGCUGUAAACGAUGCAGACUCGAUGAUGCAAUGGCAUAUAGCCAGUGCAGUGUCGCAGGGAAGCCGUUAAGUCUGCCGCCUGGGAAGUACGUACGCAAGUAUGAAACUUAAAGGAAUUGGCGGGGGGAGCACCACAAGGGGUGAAGCUGCGGUUCAAUUGGAGUCAACGCCAGAAAUCUUACCC